CAGUAAGGCUGUAUUGUUCCAGCCAGUGAAACCUAAUUUUUAUCUCGCAGGCUUUUGCUUGUUUGGCCAGCAAGGAUUCUUUGGGUGUUUUAUUAGCCUGGUCAUGACUGAGCCCACUGAGAAGGAGAGCGAGAUUGCACCUUGUUUAAGAUGAACUGAACAAAAUUUGCAUGUCCUUCUGGCAAGGAGACUAGGACAAGCUGGUCAGCAAGGAGAACAGGCUGAGAGGACAAGAUCCAACCACAAGGAGAGAGAAAAUCAUUUUGUCAGGAUCAGACUGACCUGGUAAACCCUCAGUGCCUGGUGGAGUAAGAAUGACAAGUGAAGCAUCCUUUACCAGAUCUGAGGCUGGUGGCACUGCAAUGGGGCAACUGUUGGUCUGAGAUGCAAUUGUAGUCUAAGUCU
This is a long non-coding RNA of Gymnogyps californianus (California condor), 405 nucleotides long. RefSeq lists it as uncharacterized. The transcript has 4 exons. Lineage: Eukaryota; Metazoa; Chordata; Aves; Accipitriformes; Cathartidae. The record is from RefSeq and is a predicted model, not a curated record.